Molecule: ribosomal RNA, 253 nt
Filed under: uncultured bacterium
Lineage: Bacteria
Description: partial 16S ribosomal RNA
Rfam family: Bacterial small subunit ribosomal RNA
Source: RNAcentral
UACGAGAGGCCCGAACGUUAUUCGGAAUUACUGGGCUUAAAGAGUUCGUAGGCGGCGCAGAAAGUAGGGUGUGAAAGCCCUCGGCUUAACCGAGGAAUUGCGCUCUAAACUACUGUGCUUGAGGAAUCUAGAGGUGAGCGGAACUGAUGGUGGAGCGGUGAAAUGCGUUGAUAUCAUCAGGAACACCGGAGGCGAAGGCGGCUCACUGGGGAUUUUCUGACGCUGAGGAACGAAAGCCAGGGGAGCGAACGGG